GACGAACGCUGGCGGCGUGCUUAACACAUGCAAGUCGAACGAUGAAGCCGGAGCUUGCUCUGGUGAAUUAGUGGCGAACGGGUGAGUAACACGUGAGUAACCUGCCCUUGACUCUGGGAUAACUGCGGGAAACUGUAGCUAAUACCGGAUAGGACCACUGCCUGCAUGGGUGGUGGUGGAAAGCUUUUGCGGUGUGGGAUGGGCCCGCGGCCUAUCAGCUUGUUGGUGGGGUGAUGGCCUACCAAGGCGACGACGGGUAGCCGGCCUGAGAGGGUGACCGGCCACACUGGGACUGAGAUACGGCCCAGACUCCUACGGGAGGCAGCAGUGGGGAAUAUUGCACAAUGGGCGCAAGCCUGAUGCAGCGACGCCGCGUGAGGGAUGACGGCCUUCGGGUUGUAAACCUCUUUCAGCACCGACGAAGCGCAAGUGACGGUAGGUGCAGAAGAAGGACCGGCCAACUACGUGCCAGCAGCCGCCGCAG
RNAcentral lists this ribosomal RNA (484 nucleotides) under uncultured bacterium. RNAcentral describes it as "partial 16S ribosomal RNA". It matches the Rfam family "Bacterial small subunit ribosomal RNA", at positions 28 to 523 of the family's 1533-position model. The record is from RNAcentral.